GAGGGUGUAGCUCAGUGGUAGAGUACAUGCUUAGCAUGCACGAGGUUCUGGAUUCAAUCCAGUACCUCUG
Transfer RNA from Camelus ferus (Wild Bactrian camel), 70 nucleotides. It matches the Rfam family "tRNA". Rfam says of the family: Transfer RNA (tRNA) molecules are approximately 80 nucleotides in length. Their secondary structure includes four short double-helical elements and three loops (D, anti-codon, and T loops). Lineage: Eukaryota; Metazoa; Chordata; Mammalia; Artiodactyla; Camelidae. The record is from Rfam.